This 253-nucleotide ribosomal RNA is filed under the name uncultured bacterium. RNAcentral describes it as "partial 16S ribosomal RNA". It matches the Rfam family "Bacterial small subunit ribosomal RNA", at positions 524 to 776 of the family's 1533-position model. The record is from RNAcentral.
UACGGAGGGUGCAAGCAUUGAUCGGAAUUACUGGGCGUAAAGGGCGCGUAGGCGGCCUGCUAAGUCGAACGUGAAAUCCCUGGGCUCAACCCAGGAACUGCGUCCGAUACUGGUUGGCUUGAAUCCGGGAGAGGGACGUGGAAUUCCAGGUGUAGCGGUGAAAUGCGUAGAUAUCUGGAGGAACACCGGUGGCGAAGGCGACGUCCUGGACCGGUAUUGACGCUGAGGCGCGAAAGCCAGGGGAGCAAACGGG